UACAUCCUCACUACCCUGAACAUGGCUGAUCUCUUCGGUCAUGGACGUUAAGCAGGGUAGAGCUUGGUUUGAACUUGGAUCAGAGAAGCACAAGCCAAGGAAAUAU
This 106-nucleotide ribosomal RNA is filed under the name Echinops telfairi (small Madagascar hedgehog). The record is from RNAcentral. Lineage: Eukaryota; Metazoa; Chordata; Mammalia; Afrosoricida; Tenrecidae.